This 425-nucleotide ribosomal RNA is filed under the name uncultured bacterium. RNAcentral's name for it is "partial 16S ribosomal RNA". It matches the Rfam family "Bacterial small subunit ribosomal RNA", at positions 354 to 796 of the family's 1533-position model. The record is from RNAcentral.
GUGGGGAAUCUUGCGCAAUGGGCGAAAGCCUGACGCAGCCAUGCCGCGUGAAUGAUGAAGGUCUUAGGAUUGUAAAAUUCUUUCACCGGGGACGAUAAUGACGGUACCCGGCGAAGAAGCCCCGGCUAACUUCGUGCCAGCAGCCGCGGUAAUACGAAGGGGGCUAGCGUUGCUCGGAAUUACUGGGCGUAAAGGGCGCGUAGGCGGACAGUUUAGUCAGAGGUGAAAGCCCAGGGCUCAACCUUGGAAUUGCCUUUGAUACUGGCUGUCUUGAGUACGGGAGAGGUGAGUGGAACUCCGAGUGUAGAGGUGAAAUUCGUAGAUAUUCGGAAGAACACCAGUGGCGAAGGCGACUCACUGGCCCGUUACUGACGCUGAGGCGCGAAAGCGUGGGGAGCAAACAGGAUUAGAAACCCGAGUAGUCC